UUAAAUUGAAGAGUUUGAUCAUGGCUCAGAUUGAACGCUGGCGGCAGGCCUAACACAUGCAAGUCGAACGGUAACAGGAAGCAGCUUACUGCU
RNAcentral lists this ribosomal RNA (93 nucleotides) under Salmonella enterica. RNAcentral describes it as "partial 16S ribosomal RNA". It matches the Rfam family "Bacterial small subunit ribosomal RNA", at positions 1 to 87 of the family's 1533-position model. The record is from RNAcentral. Lineage: Bacteria; Pseudomonadati; Pseudomonadota; Gammaproteobacteria; Enterobacterales; Enterobacteriaceae.